ACGGGGGGACUCCUACGGGAGGCAGCAGUGGGGAAUAUUGGACAAUGGGGGCAACCCUGAUCCAGCCAUGCCGCGUGAGUGAAGAAGGCCUUAGGGUUGUAAAGCUCUUUCAUCCGCGAGGAUAAUGACGUUAGCGGAAGAAGAAGCCCCGGCCAACUUCGUGCCAGCAGCCGCGGUAAU
RNAcentral lists this ribosomal RNA (180 nucleotides) under uncultured bacterium. RNAcentral's name for it is "partial 16S ribosomal RNA". It matches the Rfam family "Bacterial small subunit ribosomal RNA", at positions 326 to 524 of the family's 1533-position model. The record is from RNAcentral.